AUCUUGUACCAUUGCCCCGGAAGGCUGUACUUCACCUCUUUAAGACAACAUGGAAUAUCCCAAUGCCAUUAACCUUAAGAAACGAUCAGUGAAAACAGGUUAAUGUGGUUAAAGACAGAACUUCCAAAGAUGGACUACCAGUGAUAAAUGAGGAGAAAAUGAAGAUUUAAACCCCCAUGGAUUAAUGAAAGGUACGUCUCAGCAUGGAAGUUUAGAUUAUGCCCAACAAGACAUCUAACUGCUACAUGGACAAAUACAGACACCAAGACAUGAAAACAAACAAAAAGAUGAAAGGCAACAAAAACUGAUCACAGAUCUGUCCCACAUGACUUGCAUUCCCAUGGAUCCCCACAAGAUGAUUAAAAGCAAGCCUUCCAUCAGGCUGGGCUGUGUUCAAUGCAUCUUUUGUGGC
Oreochromis niloticus (Nile tilapia) is the source of this 412-nucleotide long non-coding RNA. RefSeq lists it as uncharacterized. The transcript has 3 exons. The record is from RefSeq and is a predicted model, not a curated record. NCBI's taxonomy places the organism in Eukaryota, Metazoa, Chordata, Actinopteri, Cichliformes, Cichlidae.